This 65-nucleotide transfer RNA is filed under the name Scapholeberis mucronata. RNAcentral describes it as "tRNA-Glu". Lineage: Eukaryota; Metazoa; Arthropoda; Branchiopoda; Diplostraca; Daphniidae. The record is from RNAcentral.
GUUUUUAUAGUAUAUUAUAAUACGUUACAUUUUCAUUGUAAAGAAGGAAGUCGUUCCUAGAGAUA